This is a small nucleolar RNA of Rhineura floridana, 127 nucleotides long. RefSeq annotates it as small nucleolar RNA SNORD22. Lineage: Eukaryota; Metazoa; Chordata; Lepidosauria; Squamata; Rhineuridae. The record is from RefSeq and is a predicted model, not a curated record. The transcript has a single exon.
UCCUGAUGAGGAAGUAUGGCCGUGUCUUACUCUCUGCCCUGGCUCCAGAACCUGCAAAGGUUGAACCCACUGGAGCCAGCAGAGGGAAAAGAUGAAAUGCUGCUCCCGAAGGAGCUGUCUGAUGGGA